GAAAAAAAUGGCAGCUUUGCCGUCGGCAGACUGGCAAUGGGAAAAUGCCGUCGCCGGCGCCGCCGCGGGUCUCGCCACUGUCACUUUCUCUCAUCCACUUGACGUUGUUCGUACCAGGUUCCAGGUUUACGAUGGAAGAAUUUCCAAUGUCCCUGCCUAUAGGAACACACCUCACGCUUUAUAUGCCAUUGCUCGAAGUGAGGGUUUUAGAGGACUUUAUGCUGGUUUUUACCCUGCUGUUCUUGGGUCAACUAUUUCAUGGGGUUUAUAUUUUUUCU
Molecule: unclassified non-coding RNA, 278 nt
Filed under: Hevea brasiliensis (rubber tree)
Lineage: Eukaryota; Viridiplantae; Streptophyta; Magnoliopsida; Malpighiales; Euphorbiaceae
Source: RNAcentral